RNAcentral lists this ribosomal RNA (548 nucleotides) under uncultured Glomus. Its description in RNAcentral is "SSU rRNA". It matches the Rfam family "Eukaryotic small subunit ribosomal RNA", at positions 548 to 1098 of the family's 1831-position model. The record is from RNAcentral. Lineage: Eukaryota; Fungi; Glomeromycota; Glomeromycetes; Glomerales; Glomeraceae.
UUGGAGGGCAAGUCUGGUGCCAGCAGCCGCGGUAAUUCCAGCUCCAAUAGCGUAUAUUAAAGUUGUUGCAGUUAAAAAGCUCGUAGUUGAAUUUCGGGAUCAGAUUGUUGGUCGUGCCUCGGUACGUACUGGCAUUAUUGGUUCCUACCUUCUGAAGAACCGCGAUGUCAUUAAUUUGGUGUCGUGGGGAAUCAGGACUGUUACUUUGAAAAAAUUAGAGUGUUUAAAGCAAGCUAACGCUUGAAUACAUUAGCAUGGAAUAAUGAAAUAGGACGUUCGAUCCUAUUUUGUUGGUUUCUAGGAUUGACGUAAUGAUUAAUAGGGAUAGUUGGGGGCAUUAGUAUUCAAUUGUCAGAGGUGAAAUUCUUGGAUUUAUUGAAGACUAACUACUGCGAAAGCAUUUGCCAAGGAUGUUUUCAUUAAUCAAGAACGAAAGUUAGGGGAUCGAAGACGAUCAGAUACCGUCGUAGUCUUAACCAUAAACUAUGCCGACUAGGGAUCGGAUGAUGUUAAUUUUAUAAUGACUCAUUCGGCGCCUUACGGGAAAC